UAAGACAGAGGGCGCGAGCGUUGUUCGGAAUCACUGGGCGUAAAGCGCGCGCAGGCGGAUACAGCAAGUCUGGAGUGAAAUCUCGCCGCUCAACGGCGAGGCUGCUCUGGAAACUGCGUGUCUGGGGACCGGUAGAGGCCGGUGGAAUUGCUGGUGUAGCGGUGGAAUGCGUAGAGAUCAGCAAGAACACCCGUGGCGAAGGCGGCCGGCUGGGCCGGAUCCGACGCUGAGGCGCGAAAGCGUGGGGAGCAAACAGGAUUAGAUACCCUGGUAGUCCACGCCGUAAACGAUGGGCACUAGGUGCCGGGGGGAGCGACCCCUUCGGUGCCGCAGCUAACGCGAUAAGUGCCCCGCCUGGGGAGUACGGCCGCAAGGCUG
Molecule: ribosomal RNA, 378 nt
Filed under: uncultured bacterium
Lineage: Bacteria
Description: bacterial SSU rRNA
Rfam family: Bacterial small subunit ribosomal RNA
Source: RNAcentral